UGGUCCCGUAUUCCUGUUGGUCGGCCCGAGAUUAUGCCGCGUCGACCGUGGUUCCCAGGUGAGCCGCCGAGACGACAGCCGACAUGGGCAUAUAUUUGGGAUCAGGUUAAGGUUAGCCAUACGAGGUUGGACCGCGCGUACCUUGAUUACAUCAACGAGAUAGACGCGCUCACUGCUCAUAGUCCUUACGACGGAGACGAUCCACUUCCUUUUCCCCUUAGCUUCAUGUGUGCGACGGACGAUGAUAUUUAUAGGAUGGUGUGCCCUCUUAUUUGCUUCUAUGCUGUCGAGUACCACCUGCCACAUCGAGUCGCACGUCAAUUUGGGAUGAGGCAGAUUUGGCCACCACAGGCGACCUCGACUAGUAUAGAGUUACACAACGUGGAUCGAAAGAAGAAAAGGAAGGU
Molecule: long non-coding RNA, 407 nt
Organism: Setaria italica (foxtail millet)
Lineage: Eukaryota; Viridiplantae; Streptophyta; Magnoliopsida; Poales; Poaceae
Exons: 3
Source: RefSeq, a predicted model, not a curated record